UAAAGCCUGCAAGACUCUCUUACAUCUUCUGAAUGCAACUCAGACACUUUAUUUAAAUUAAGGCCUU
Molecule: transfer RNA, 67 nt
Filed under: Gonocephalus grandis (Giant forest dragon)
Lineage: Eukaryota; Metazoa; Chordata; Lepidosauria; Squamata; Agamidae
Description: tRNA-Ala
Source: RNAcentral